ACGCUCGACACCUACGGGAGCAGCAGUAGGGAAUCUUCCACAAUGGACGCAAGUCUGAUGGAGCAACGCCGCGUGAGUGAAGAAGGUUUUCGGAUCGUAAAGCUCUGUUGUUGGUGAAGAAGGAUAGAGGUAGUAACUGGCCUUUAUUUGACGGUAAUCAACCAGAAAGUCACGGCUAACUACGUGCCAGCAGCCGCGGUAAUCUGAGCGGGCUGGCAAGGC
Molecule: ribosomal RNA, 222 nt
Filed under: uncultured bacterium
Lineage: Bacteria
Description: partial 16S ribosomal RNA
Rfam family: Bacterial small subunit ribosomal RNA
Source: RNAcentral